Non-coding RNA from Paramuricea clavata, 302 nucleotides. NCBI's taxonomy places the organism in Eukaryota, Metazoa, Cnidaria, Anthozoa, Malacalcyonacea, Plexauridae. The record is from the annotation of a GenBank genome assembly.
AGCAUUUGUAAAUUCUGAACGCUGAUUGGCUAAGAGCCGUGUUGAUAUAACUCCAUGUCAACACGGGAAAUUUUCCGCCGCUUGUAACACGGAAAUUGUUCUUAUUCUUCGGGCUUUUGACAUUGCUAUAUUAUAAAACAAAUAUAAAACAUUUUCUCCGUAUUGAUAUAUAGUUAUAUCAACACUCGUGGAAGUUGGGAAAACUCGAAAUUGUGUGAAAACACUCCGCCCUUCGGGCGUCAUGUUUCCACACAAUUUCUCGUUUUCCCAAUUUCCACUCGUGUUGAUAUAACUGUAUAUCA